GACGAACGCUGGCGGCGUGCUUAACACAUGCAAGUCGAGCGGUAAGGCCCUUCGGGGUACGACGAGCGGCGAACGGGUGAGUAACACGUGGGUGACCUGCCCUCAGCUCUGGGAUAAGCCUGGGAAACUAGGGUCUAAUACUGGAUAUGACUCCACGGUGCAUGUCGUGGGGUGGAAAGCCUUGUGCGGCUGAGGAUGGGCCCGCGGCCUAUCAGCUUGUUGGUGGGGGGA
RNAcentral lists this ribosomal RNA (231 nucleotides) under uncultured bacterium. RNAcentral's name for it is "partial 16S ribosomal RNA". It matches the Rfam family "Bacterial small subunit ribosomal RNA", at positions 28 to 260 of the family's 1533-position model. The record is from RNAcentral.